GCGCAGCAGUCGCGAAAACUUCACAAUGUGCGAAAGCACGAUGAGGGAAUCCCAAGUGCUUGCACGUAAGUGUAAGCUGUUUCUCUGUCUAAAACGCAGAGAGAGUAAGGGCUGGGUAAGACGGGUGCCAGCCGCCGCGGUAAUACCUGCAGCUCGAGUGGUGACCGUUAUUAUUGGGCCUAAAACGUCCGUAGCCGGUUUAAUAAAUGCCUGGGUAAAUCGGACCGCUUAACGGUUCGAAUUCCGGGUAGACUGUUAAACUUGAGACCGGGAGAAGUUAGAGGUACUCCUGGGGUAGAGGUGAAAUUCUGUAAUCCUAGGGGGACCACCAGUGGCGAAGGCGUCUAACUAGAACGGGUCUGACGGUGAGGGACGAAGCCCUGGGGCGCAAAAC
Molecule: ribosomal RNA, 394 nt
Filed under: uncultured microorganism
Description: bacterial SSU rRNA
Rfam family: Archaeal small subunit ribosomal RNA
Source: RNAcentral